AACCUUGUCUUGCUCCUAACUAUAUUCUCCAUAUAUAGAACACAAAAACUAUUAAAACCAUCUGCUGAAGGAAUGGAUGACUCCAUGGUAGAGCUACAAUCCUAAAGCCCCAUGAUCUCAGUUUGAGCGCUAUGUCAGAAAGAUGGGCACCAAAAAAGGGUACGCUCGAUCCUGUGUUCCACCUAAUUCUCACCCAAGAGGUGGACUUUGAGAACAAAUGAAGUUUUAGAAAUGUUUUAAAGCUAGAAUUAUUUUCUUUCAGGAUUUUUUGUUUUUUUCCUUUGUACUUAGAAUUAAAAAAAAUUCUUUUGCUAUAUAUUUUGAGUCGACUCUCUUGAAGACUUACACCAACUAUCUGAAAACCCAGACGGGGAAAGGUCUUAUUGAUUUAACUGGAGGAGGGGAGAGAGGCAGCAGGCAAAGCAGAAGGAGAAGAGAAGAGCUUUUCAUUUGCAGGCCAGAAUCCUGACGGUUCAGAAACCUGUAUUCCCCCAGGGACAGGUAGGGAGGUGGGUGGGGGAGAGGGCAGCACACCAAGUCCAUUUUCUCCUAUCUAUCUUACCUGAUUUGUCUCUAGUGGUUCAUAAACCGAGGGAAAAGCCAGUGGAUACCAAGCAGGACAAAAGGGUACUUAGAGCGCAGGGAGGACAUACAGCAAGUUUUGUUUUAUGUCAAACACUUAACGAGGGGCUGGAUCUGUUUUUACGUGGUCAUGGAUUCUGCUUACCAGUGAAUGUGGUGUUUCAUUUUCCACGGGAGAGAGAGUAAUAGUCCUCACCAGGAGCCUGCCCUUCAGGCCUGGUACUGAAUAAUUACUGGACUGCUGAAAGCUUCCAAGUAGAAGCUCAGCCUCCACUAUACCGCUUGGCUCCUGUUCCCAUUCCAGCUACUUUAAGCUCUUGUAAACAGCCUUUGUUUUCCAUUACAAGCUGGGAAAUGUGACCAUGUGGCAGUGGUGCCGGGUCCCUGGAGAGGGCCUGCCAGGGAGGCCGUUUCCUCACAUCUCCUUUCAGCUUGUAAACUUGCUGUCGAGGUUGGCUAAUCACGGAAGCUCCAUGUCUUCCCAUCCUAUUCUGUUCCCCCUAAUUUACAGAACAGCCAGAGACCCGCUUGAGGACUAGCGGAUCGACCAGAUGUUUCCUGAGCACAGACAGAGUCCGUUUCCCCUUGCACAUCAUCUUGUGAGAGGGGAGGGCCGGCAGGGGCGCUCACCCCUGCUGACAUCAUUGGGCGAGGUGGCCUGGGGGAGAAUUUCAAAGCAGGGCAGCUUGGCCAGGGAAGAGCUCAGCUGGUGGCCCUGGGCUGGGAUUAACUGACCCAGAUGCCUAGGGAGAAGGAUUUUAGCAAUUUAAGUGUGUUGGUUCUCUGGGAGGAAAGUAGCCCCUCCAUUCCCUGCACAUCCCUGGGCUAUGGAUGAACUUCGCUGGUGGCUCCACAUACACAUUCAGGGUCACCUUCACUUCCGUCCAAAAUCCCUGUGGUUUCCGGACUUUUUGCUUGAGGUUUGUGAUGAGACAAGCUCAUUUGAUUGCAGUGAAUGAUGACAAAAUCAUAAUAAAUGAUAAUGAUAAUAAUAAAUUAGUGGGCCUUCUUCCCCAAAUGCAACAUAGGGGACCCACAUGCUAACAAAUCUAUCAUUUUGCAUCACUUUAGAUCACUAGCUUGUCAGAUUCAGGGGGUGGUAGGAACCAAUAAAACUUUUUAAUAUAGAGAACAACUGACAUGGAUUUAAUUGCCAGCUUCCCCUUAGGAAGGUCAUUAAAAGUAGAUGAAACCAAGUAAAUGAAUAGGGACUGUGCCAUUUACUAUCAUUCCAGUUUUCAUAAAAGAAAGGUUAGUUUAGCCUCUUCUGCUCAAAUCCUUCCAAGGAAUUGUCUUCACUGCUCCUAAUCAAAUCCAAACUACCAGGACCUGGGGAUCCCUGGGUUGCCCAGGGGUUUUGGCACCUGCCUUUGGCUCAGGGCGCGAUCCUGGAGUCCCAGGAUCAAGUCCCACGUCAGGCUCCCUGCAUGGAGCCUGCUUCUCCCUCCUCCUGUGUCUCUGCUCUCUCUCUCUCUCUCUCUCUCUCUCUCUAUGUCUAUCAUAAAUAAAUGAAUAAAUCUUAAAAAAAAAAAAAAAAAAAAAAAAG
Molecule: long non-coding RNA, 2128 nt
Filed under: Canis lupus familiaris (dog)
Lineage: Eukaryota; Metazoa; Chordata; Mammalia; Carnivora; Canidae
Description: lncRNA (ENSCAFG00845024812.1)
Source: RNAcentral